GGGAAACCGAGUCUUAAUUGGGCGUUAAGUUGCAGGGUAUAGACCCGAAACCCGGUGAUCUAGCCAUGGGCAGGUUGAAGGUUGGGUAACACUAACUGGAGGACCGAACCGACUAAUGUUGAAAAAUUAGCGGAUGACCUGUGGCUGGGGGUGAAAGGCCAAUCAAACCGGGAGAUAGCUGGUUCUCCCCGAAAGCUAUUUAGGUAGCGCCUCGUGAAUUCAUCUCCGGGGGUAGAGCACUGUUUCGGCUAGGGGGCCAUCCCGGCUUACCAACCCGAUGCAAACUGCGAAUACCGGAGAAUGUUAUCACGGGAGACACACGGCGGGUGCUAACGUCCGUCGUGAAGAGGGAAACAACCCAGACCGCCAGCUAAGGUCCCAAAGUCAUGGUUAAGUGGGAAACGAUGUGGGAAGGCCCAGACAGCCAGGAUGUUGGCUUAGAAGCAGCCAUCAUUUAAAGAAAGCGUAAUAGCUCACUGGUCGAGUCGGCCUGCGCGGAAGAUGUAACGGGGCUAAACCAUGCACCGAAGCUGCGGCAGCGACGCUGAUGCGUUGUUGGGUAGGGGAGCGUUCUGUAAGCCUGUGAAGGUGGCCUGUGAGGGUUGCUGGAGGUAUCAGAAGUGCGAAUGCUGACAUAAGUAACGAUAAAGCGGGUGAAAAGCCCGCUCGCCGGAAGACCAAGGGUUCCUGUCCAACGUUAAUCGGGGCAGGGUGAGUCGACCCCUAAGGCGAGGCCGAAAGGCGUAGUCGAUGGGAAACGGGUUAAUAUUCCCGUACUUGGUGUUACUGCGAAGGGGGGACGGAGAAGGCUAUGUUGGCCGGGCGACGGUU
Molecule: ribosomal RNA, 831 nt
Filed under: Salmonella enterica
Lineage: Bacteria; Pseudomonadati; Pseudomonadota; Gammaproteobacteria; Enterobacterales; Enterobacteriaceae
Description: partial 23S ribosomal RNA
Rfam family: Bacterial large subunit ribosomal RNA
Source: RNAcentral